This 600-nucleotide ribosomal RNA is filed under the name Crenosoma striatum. RNAcentral's name for it is "eukaryotic LSU rRNA". It matches the Rfam family "Eukaryotic large subunit ribosomal RNA", at positions 390 to 923 of the family's 3401-position model. Lineage: Eukaryota; Metazoa; Nematoda; Chromadorea; Rhabditida; Crenosomatidae. The record is from RNAcentral.
CAAGAGAACGUGAAAUCGUUGAAGUGGAACCGGAGAGAGUUGACGUAGUAUGGUGGAUAAGUAUUGCAAGAAUCGCUUCAAACMAUGAAUGUGAUCGAGUAAUAUGUACGUCACCAAAGACUGCGCUGACAGCAUCGACUACACGCUCUGAACUGUGUUGACAUGUUGCCUACUCUAGUAUAUAGAAUGGUGUCUUGUGUUACGUGGUGAAGUUUGUUGUUAUGUUGUUGAUGUUGAUAAKUAUGAUUAUACAUCGAGUAUAAUUAUGUCAGUGUAAAAGUCAACCACCUCUCCGACCCGUCUUGAAACACGGACCGAGGAGUGUAACUUGUACGCGAGUCAUUGGGUGGAAAAACCUUAAGGCGAAACGAAAGUGAAGGCACGGUUAACCGGCUGACAUGGGAAACGUGCGGUAUUGUUAGCGAGACGUUACACCAUGGCCCUGUCUUGUCUGCAUGCAGAUGGGCAGCGGUAGAGCGUACAGGUUGCGACCCGAAAGAUGGUGAACUAUGCCUGAGCAGGACGAAGUCAGAGGAAACUCUGGUGGAAGUCCGUAUCGGUUCUGACGUGCAAAUCGAUCGAUAGACUUGGGUAUAGGGG